UACGUAAGGGGCAAGCGUUAUCCGGAAUUACUGGGUGUAAAGGGAGCGUAGGCGGUACGGCAAGUCAGAUGUGAAAGGCAGGGGCUCAACCCCUGGACUGCAUUUGAAACUGUCGAACUGGAUUGCAGGAGAGGCAAGUGGAAUUCCUAGUGUAGCGGUGAAAUGCGUAGAUAUUAGGAGGAACACCAGUGGCGAAGGCGGCUUGCUGGACUGUAAAUGACGCUGAGGCUCGAAAGCGUGGGGAGCAAAC
This 250-nucleotide ribosomal RNA is filed under the name uncultured bacterium. RNAcentral describes it as "partial 16S ribosomal RNA". It matches the Rfam family "Bacterial small subunit ribosomal RNA", at positions 524 to 773 of the family's 1533-position model. The record is from RNAcentral.